This 487-nucleotide long non-coding RNA is filed under the name Phoenix dactylifera (date palm). RNAcentral's name for it is "long non-coding RNA (PDAC_LNC022910)". Lineage: Eukaryota; Viridiplantae; Streptophyta; Magnoliopsida; Arecales; Arecaceae. The record is from RNAcentral.
AAAGAAAACAAGAAAAAACCAAUCUUUUCGAUUAAAAAAAAAAACUUCUUCAUCUAGAAUCAAGAGAACCCCUUAUCUAACUCAUGACAGCAUCGAGCGGUGCAGAAGAAAGACAAAAAGAAAUCACAGAGUCCCAAACCAAAGAGAGACUGGAUUUUGUCGAAUUAGAAGCCAAAAUCCAUAGAUUUCUUAUCAUCAAAUGAUACCAACACAGUAUUUACAAAUUAACUAUUUAAAAAGAAUCAACCUAUUAAAACAGAAUUCAAGAAGAAUCAAGAGAAACGCAGAGAUAGAAAAACGCCAACCUCGUUUUUUAUCAAAUCCGGAAUAAAAGCAUCGGAAGCAAAAAGAUUGAUCGAGCGGUAGAGAUAGAGAAAGAGGACUGACCUUGGGCGGAACUCGGAAUCGAAUCUAUUAUUCGGGGCGAUGGCGGAGGAGAGACGAGACGAGAGAAUUCUUGUUUCAAGUCUGGGUUUUGAGGUUGAGA